Molecule: long non-coding RNA, 1837 nt
Organism: Homo sapiens (human)
Lineage: Eukaryota; Metazoa; Chordata; Mammalia; Primates; Hominidae
Exons: 4
Source: RefSeq, a predicted model, not a curated record
GCAGUUAAGUUCAUCUGGUGUCCUUUGUAAUACUGCAAAGAGAACUUCUUACGCUGUAGCUGAAUGAGAGAAAUAUCCCAUUCCAAACCUCUGAUGGAAACUGGCCAAGUCAGCGUGUGAGAGGAAGAAGGAAGUGUGUGGCACCUCCUGCCUCGCUCUCUUCCUCCUGUUCCGGCCAUGUGAAGUGCUGGCUCCUCAUUUUCCUUCCACCAUGAUUGGAAGCUUCCUGAGGCCUCACCAGAAGCAGAUGCUGCCAUGCUUCCUGUACAGCCUGCAGAACCGUGAGCCAAUUAAACCUCUCUUCUUAUAAACUACCCAGUCUCAGGUACUUCUUUAUAGCAGUGUGAGAACAGACUAAUACAAUGACUACUGAUCAUAGUGGAUUGGCCACUGGAGAGAAAGCUGAUGGAGCAGAGAGCACUUGGGAAGAAACCAUUAAACACUGAAAGAGGAAGAGGUGGUGGAGAUACAUUGGAGAGAACAAAUACAAUAGACUUAUCUGAGGUCAAAUCAACAGAACCCAGCAACGGAUCAGACAGAGAGAGAAAGCAGAAAGAGUGAAAUAAAACUCCACGGUUCUAGCCUGAGUGAUUAAGGGCAGAGCAAUGUUCUGGACCUUGCUGGGAGAUUCAGGAAGAAGAGGGAAAUCUGGGUUUAUUUCAAGGAGGGGUGGGAAGGAGAGAUGAGAUGAAGGAGGACCAGGAAAAUAAAAUAUUUCAAGUUAGCUAUGCUGCAUUGGAAGUGCUUACCGCAUAUCCAGAAAAAGUUUGCCUACCCUUGCACCGGAAGCAGGAGGGAAAGAGAUGGGCUUGUUGGAAACCAGGAAAGGAGAAAUUGACAGAGCUGCAGGGAGCAAUCCCUUUCCACCUUCACCCAGGACUGAGAUCAUGUCAUACAAAAGCCCUGUGUUGUUCAGAGGACCAGAGGGGCUGGAGUGGAGUGAAGUGGUGUGAUCUCGGCUUACUGCAACCUCUGCCUCCCAGGUUCAAGCGAUUCUCCUGCCUCAGCCUCCUGAGUAGCUGGGAUCACAGACGCCUGCCAUCAUGCCUGGCUAAUUUUUGUAUUUUUAGUAGAGAUGGGGUUUCGCCAUGUUGGUCAGGCUGGUCUCGAACUCCUGACCUCAAGUGAUCCACCUGCCUCGGCCUCCCAAAGUGCUGGAAUUACAGGCAUGAACCACUGCACCUGGCCUCUAUUACCUUUAAAAGUGCUCCUUGAAGAGAAAAUCCACUCUGCCGUUUCAAGCUUGACUUCCCUCCCCAGUCUUAGAGACUGAUCACUGGGGCAGAGUGACAUUUUCCCACAAUGCUGGCUCAUUAUUUUCCUCCUGGAAUUGCAAAUCCAAGGGACAAGUGGUACAGCCUGCACCCAUCCAGAAGGGGAGGGAAUCCCACCAGAGGUGCCCUGAAACAAAGAAAACAAGUAACUUCAAAACCACAUCCUAAAAUCUGGACCUGUGACAGGACAGAUGGAACUCUGGAUUGUUUGAUUCUAUCAGCAGAACAGAGGAAGGAAAUGUUUUAAAACGAGAUUAUGUUAUUUUCCCCAGUUAUUAUGAAGCCUUCCUGAAAUGAACUUUAAAUAUCGGCCACCACUUUCAUGAGGCUGAAUGGGAUUCAGCAAUUAGGAGCGUUGCAGGGAAGUGUGGCAGGGCAGAGGUGGGACAAAUUGCAGAUCCCUGUGGGGUCCCUUGGUUAGGUGACAAUUAGUCUAUAAAACACAGCUGUGUGUGUUAGGGAGGGAGUGGUGUCUUUAAAAAGCUCUGUGCCCAAUAGGAACAUUAAUUAAAGGGUCUUUUUUCAAAGGACAUUAAUAAUAAUGAAUAAAAAGCCUUCUGCGA